GUAAAUGGAGGAGGGUGUGUCUUUUAGGAGUUUAAAACGUGUGUGGAAUGCAGCCUCCCUUUAAAAUGUGAUUUUAAACCAGUGAUGUGUAUAAACCCAGGAUGACUAACUGUAAUUAAGUCACCGCGCAGCCAUCUUGCUAACAAGCAGUGAGUGUACAAUUAUGUUCAAUCCGGGUCCUGAAAUGCCCCAUAAUUCAAUUUGCGAUGAUUGUACAUCCGCUAAGAAAAGUCAAGACAAAAUUCAAAACCAACAUUAAUAUGGAGAAGUCAACAUACAAGUUCUCCUCCAGCUAAAGUAGGAGAGGCAGUAAAGGCUUCCAUCUGCUGGCUACAGACUCAUUGACGGCGCUUUCCUCUACCAGAAUGAGGUGGGAAAGGGCAUCCAGGCUAUGAUCCAGGAGGGUACUGUAAAGAGAGAGGAGCUGUUCAUCGUCAGCAAGAUUAGGGAUGAGCUCGUGGAGAGGGAUUCACUGUUGCCGUGGAAACCAGAUUCCUGGAUACCUGGGAGCGCCUCUCGGGAAGGAAGAGCUUGUGGAUGCAGGGUUAGUAAAAGCCAUUGGAAUCUCCAAUUUCAACAGCCAUCGAACUGAAUCCAUUCUGAACACGCCAGGCCUCAAGAACAAAGCUGCCAACAACCAGGGUCAAACCAGACAACCCCUGUUUAUUUCAAGACUCAAACAUCAAGGACAUAACUGAUAAGCACCAGAGGACUAUAUCUCAGGUGCUGCUUCGUUUUCUGGUCCAAAGUGAAGUGUGUGUAAUUCCAAAAUCAACCACGCCCCAACACAUGUACCUGGGCAACCUCCAGGUGUUUGACUUUGAACUGAGCAAAGAGGACAUAAGGACCAUGUUAUCACUGAACAGGAACUACAGUUUUUCCUCUGCUCUCAUACGGGGCUGAAGCACAAAGACUACCCCUUCAGUGAUGAAUUUGAAGAGGCAGGUAUACCCGCUAUUGAAGUCUCCAGCUUCACUCCAUUACAGAUCACAUUCUACCUUAUCUUAAUAUGGAUGGAGGGCCCUCCCCUGUGCUGUCAAUCAUAUUUAAUUAUUUAUAUUCAUUAUCACAAGAACAAUAUCUAGUACAUAAAUUGUAUGCAUAGCAUGUUGCAGAAAACAUUUCUAUAGCC
Oncorhynchus gorbuscha (pink salmon) is the source of this 1132-nucleotide RNA transcript. It is a transcript of the gene named aldo-keto reductase family 1 member B15-like, with no coding region annotated. Lineage: Eukaryota; Metazoa; Chordata; Actinopteri; Salmoniformes; Salmonidae. The transcript has 8 exons. The record is from RefSeq and is a predicted model, not a curated record.